UAGGGAAUCUUCGGCAAUGGACGAAAGUCUGACCGAGCAACGCCGCGUGAGUGAAGAAGGUUUUCUGAUCGUAAAACUCUGUUGUUAGAGAAGAACAAGGACGUUAGUAACUGAACGUCCCCUGACGGUAUCUAACCAGAAAGCCACGGCUAACUACGUGCCAGCAGCCGCGGUAAUACGUUGGUGGCAAGCGUUGUCCGGAUUUAUUGGGCGUAAAGUGAGCGCAGGCGGUUCCUUAAGUCUGAUGUGAAAGCCCCCGGCUCAACCGGGGAGGGUUAUUAGAUACUGGGAGACUUGAGUGCAGAGGAGGGGAGUGGAAUUCCAUGUGUAGCGGUGAUAUGCGUAAAUAUAUGGAGGACCACCAGUGGCGAAGGCGGCUCUCUGGUCUGUAACUGACGCUGAGGCUCGAAAGCGUGGGGAGCAAACAGG
This 429-nucleotide ribosomal RNA is filed under the name Gemmatimonadota bacterium. RNAcentral's name for it is "Gemmatimonadetes bacterium partial 16S ribosomal RNA". It matches the Rfam family "Bacterial small subunit ribosomal RNA", at positions 355 to 776 of the family's 1533-position model. Lineage: Bacteria; Pseudomonadati; Gemmatimonadota. The record is from RNAcentral.